RNAcentral lists this transfer RNA (57 nucleotides) under Ovis aries (sheep). It matches the Rfam family "tRNA", at positions 8 to 63 of the family's 71-position model. From Rfam's summary of the family: Transfer RNA (tRNA) molecules are approximately 80 nucleotides in length. Their secondary structure includes four short double-helical elements and three loops (D, anti-codon, and T loops). The record is from Rfam by way of RNAcentral. Lineage: Eukaryota; Metazoa; Chordata; Mammalia; Artiodactyla; Bovidae.
UAGCUCAGGUGGUGAAGCGUCUGCCUGCAAUGCAGGAGACCCAGGUUCGAUACCUGG